AAAUUGAAGAGUUUGAUCAUGGCUCAGAUUGAACGCUGGCGGCAGGCCUAACACAUGCAAGUCGAACGGUAGCACAGAGAGCUUGCUCUCGGGUGACGAGUGGCGGACGGGUGAGUAAUGUCUGGGAAACUGCCUGAUGGAGGGGGAUAACUACUGGAAACGGUGGCUAAUACCGCAUAAUGUCGC
RNAcentral lists this ribosomal RNA (186 nucleotides) under Salmonella enterica subsp. enterica serovar Uganda. RNAcentral describes it as "partial 16S ribosomal RNA". It matches the Rfam family "Bacterial small subunit ribosomal RNA", at positions 1 to 182 of the family's 1533-position model. The record is from RNAcentral. Lineage: Bacteria; Pseudomonadati; Pseudomonadota; Gammaproteobacteria; Enterobacterales; Enterobacteriaceae.